Long non-coding RNA from Acinonyx jubatus (cheetah), 8510 nucleotides. RefSeq lists it as uncharacterized. The record is from RefSeq and is a predicted model, not a curated record. Lineage: Eukaryota; Metazoa; Chordata; Mammalia; Carnivora; Felidae. The transcript is spliced from 4 exons.
UUACCUUUUUAGUAAUAAUGAUUAUUACUAUAAAAAAACAACGUUAAUUUCCUCAUCGGCAAAAAUGGAAGUAAUGAUUUGUAUCCCAGCCUACCAUUUAAAGUGACUGGUAAACUAUACAGGGACGAUGUGACAGUCACUGCAUCUAAGUCAGCACUGAUUCUAAAGUGGCAUUUUAGUGGAUUUCAUAAGCAAUGGGUGGCAAACUUAAGUCGCCACUGUUAUCCCAAGGAACUCGCGGCGCUUUGCAGGCAGGGGCACAGAAAAGCGACAUUCAGGACAACACAGCCUCAGACCUGAGAGCUGUAAGGGCCCCGGGAUGGCGCCAGCCCCUAGCGUAAGAACGAGGAAGCAGCGCUCGGAGCGCGGCGGUGACCUUGCGUGCCCUGGGUGGAGAAAGGAGACGGAAUUCCGCACCUGGCUGCGAGCGCGUCUGCUCCCGGAGCUUCCCCGACCCGGGCGCGUGGAGGGCGUGGGAGGCCGGAGGGGAGGCCCCGCCCCGCCCCGCCUCGCCUAGGAGACCCCGCCCCCCGGGACGCCCGGCGGCCCAGCGCGCGGACAGGGGCGCCGGCGGGGCGGCGAGGGGCGCGGCGAGCGCGCAGUCACGUAGCAGCCCGAGGAUCCGUUCGCUCUGCGCCACGUAGCGCGCGACUCCCGAAGGCUCCUUCAUGAGACCUCAGUUAAGGUGUUGGCCAGACCUGUCUCCCCCUGGGUUGAAGGAUCCACGUCUCAGGUGCCUUAUUCAUGUGGUUGUUCCAGUUACGUGCCAUCAACCAUGAUCCAGAAGCAGUGACCCUCCUGCUGACAUGUUGUCAGAAGUACUCUGCACCGAGACCUGCGACCUGUCCGGUAUGUCCCUUCUGAAAACCAUGAAGUGGUUGGAAAAAAGGACACACGGAAGAGGUAAAUUAUACCUGUUUUGGGGUUACACUAAUUCAUACUUACAGGAAAAGGUGAAACUCAGGAAACAAAAUCGCGGCUCUCCUGUGCAGCGUGGGGGAAGGGGCACUGACCCAGAGGAGCGGGCUCACGGAGAAGAGAAGGGAAAGGUGGAGCUCCAGGAGAGAAGAGACGCCUCCCCUGGACUAAUGAGAGGAGCUUCAGCAGAAGAAAACACCGGAAACGUGCCCUGGAGAGGCAGAGGACACAUUCCUUCAGUAGGAACAGCGGGGACACCUUUCUAGGGGAAAGGGGAGAGGAAAACAGGGCAAGAACUGAUUCUUGCCAUCUUGUAGAACUGAUUCUACAGAGCUCUUUCAAGUGGCAUAGAAUUUCCUCCAUCGCAAGGUGCUUUUUGCAACAGGACCUACAAGCCCUUCUUUUGAGUUUUGUGGGAUUUCUCUCUUUUUAUUUUCAUUCGUUUGGUUUUGCCCCCAGAUAGCUGGCUUAGGUGAAUACUGACACGAAAAUUGUUAGUGUGCUCUAGUCGUGGAUUUAGAAUACCCUGAAUCAGAAGUGACAGCCGUGGGUGCCUGGGUGACUCGGUUAAGCAUCCACUCUUGAUUUCCGUUCAGGUCAUGAUCUCAUGGUUCAUGGGUUCAAGCCCUGCCUCAGGCUCUGUGCUGACAGUACGGAGUCUCUUGGGAUUCUUUCUCUCUCCCUCUCUCUCUGUUCCUUCCCGCCUCGUGCUUGCUCUCUCUCAAAAUAAAUAAAUAAACAACCACAACAAAAAGAGGUGAGAGCCAGCCUCUGGAUGUCGAUGUCGGCUGGGUAUCACAACCAGGACAACCAAAAUUUCAUGUUACAGAUAAAUCCAGUUCCCUCCUUGGCCCCUUCUCCCACCAGCCUCUAGAAGGAACAAGCAGCAACCAGUAACCUCAGCAAUCCUGUACCAGUCGCUGCCUGGCUAUUUCCCCCAGAAGGCUGGUGAGGUACCGUCCUCCCCAGAAAGGAUAACAUGGCACUCCUUCAAACACGAAGAACCAUGCCUUCUUCCCUCUUCCCUGUCCGAGCUUUCCAGGGGAAUUCCAGUUUUACCCCAGCGAGUCUACUGGAAACUUCACCCGUCCUCAUUUCUUCUCAUGAAUUACCAUUAUUCACACCAGAGCACACACUUGACACCCCUCAUUUUGGAGCCGUCUCACUACAAGCUCGCCUUUGGUCACGUCAGUCUAUUUUUAAUCAUUACAGGGCUUAUGUCUCAUGCAUUCAUUUAUUUACAAGUUUAUUGUCUAUCUUAGAAUAUAAGGGCCAUGAGAGCAAUGACUUACUUGUCCUGUUGACUACUGUAUUUUUCAUGUUUAGAAUAGCGUUUGACAUGCAAUAGAUACGCCAAAUCAUUUAUUAUUGUUAAAAAUAGAGGGUAGAAUCAAUUACAAAGCAAGAACUUGGGAAACAAAAAUAUUGUAAUAUUAAUAUGAAAAUAGUUUUUACCUCACAGACUCAGAGAUACUCGCAAUCUACUAAGUGCUGCAAUAGAAUUUGGAGUAGCCAGAGGUCACUGGGGUUGGAGAGCUGAGGAGAGAGGAACACUAAGGGGUGUCUCUGAGACCCUUUCAGAGAGUCUGUAAGGUAAAAACUAUUUUCAUAGUAAUAUUAAGAUGUUGGCUUUUUCACUGUGGUGACCCUUCUGAUGAUGCAAAAGCAAUAGAGGGCAAAAUGGCCACCCUCUUGGCACAUGGCACCAACUGUCACCACAUACACACAGGAAAACAGAUUCCAGUUUCAUUUAAGAAUGUCCUGGAAGGUUAGUAUUCAAAAUCUGUAAAGAACUUACCAGACUCAACACCUGAAAGACGAAUAACCCACUUAAGAAAUGGGCAGAAGACAUGAAUAGACACUUUUCCAAAGACAUCCAGAUGGCUAACAGACGUAUGAAAAGAUGCUCAACGUGACUCAUCAUCAGGGAAAUACAAAUCAAAACCAUGAUGAGACUCCACCUCACACCUGUCAGAAUGGCUAAAAUUAACAACACAAGAAACAACAAAUGUUGGUGAGGAUGCGGAGAAAGUGAAGCCCUCUUGCUCUGUUGGUGGGAAUGCAAAGUGGUGCAGCCACUCUGGAGAACAGGAUGGAGGUUUUUCAAAAGACUAAAAAUAGAACUACCCUACAAUCCAGCAAUUUCACUGCUAGGUAUUCACCCAAAGGAUACAAAAAUACAGAUUCAAAGGGGUACCUGCACCCCAAUGUUUAUAGCAGCAUUAUCAAUGAUAGCCAAACUAUAGAGAGAGCCCAAAUGUCCAUCGACUGAUGAAUGGGUAAAGAAGGUGUGGUAUACACACACACACACACAAUGGUGUAUUACUCAGCCGUCAAAAUGAACGAAAUCUUGCCGUUUGCAAUGACGUGGAUGGAGCUAGAAUGUAUUAUGCUAAGCGAAAUAAGUCAAUCAGAGAAAGACAAAUACUGUAUGAUUUCACGCAUAUGUGGAAUUUAAGAAACAAAACAGAUGAACAUAGGGGAAGGGGAGGGGGAAGAAGAGAGGGGAACAAACCACAGGAGACUCUUAAUGAUAGAGAACAAACUGAGUAUUGCUGGAGGGAGGUGGGGGGGGAUGGGCUAGAUGGGCGAUGGGCAUUAAGGAGGGCACUUGUUGGGAUGAGCAGUGGGUGUUAUAAAGAAAUGAAUCACUGAAUUCUACUCCUGAAACCAAUAUUGCACUGUAGGUUAACUAACUAAAAUUUAAAUGAAAAAAGAAAAAAAAAGAAUGUCCUUAAGGCGCUCCUCCUGGCUCAUUUGGUGGAGCAUGUGACUCUUCAUCUCAUGGUUGUAGGUCUAGCCCCCUAUUGGGUGUAGAGAUUACUUGAAAAUAAAAUCUUUUUUUAAAAAAAGAAUGUCCUUGGGGUGCCUGGGUGGCUCAGUCGGUUGAGUGUCCGACUUCGGUUCAGGUCAUGAUCUCACGGUCUAUGAGUUCCAGCCCCGCGUCGGGCUCUGUGCUGAUGGCUCAGAGCCUGGAGCCUGUUUUGGAUUCUGUGUCUCCCUCUCUGCCCCUCCCCCACUCAUGCUCGCUCUCUCUCUCUCUCUGUCUCUGUCAAAAAUAAAUAGACAUUAAAAAAAUUUUUUUAAAGAAUGUCCUUGAUAAAUCAGUAAAAAUUAUUAAUUUUGUUAACUCUUGACCUCUGAGUACAUGUGCAUUUGAUAUUCUCUGUGAUAAAAUGGAAAACACACAUAAGGCAUUUCUGCUGAAUAAUGAAGGGUGUUGGUUUUCUUGAGGAAAAAUGCUUGGCAAUUGAAUAGUGAGCCAAACUAGCCUUUCAUUCCCCAUGGAACAUCAUUAUUCUUUGACACUCUAAAGAAUGGAAGACAAACUAUAGUUAUUUAGAGUUGGAUAUCUGACAGGUAUUUUCUCAAAAUGAACAAAGUGAGCUUGUCCCCUCCAGUAAAACAACUGACAAUGUCAGUUGCCAAUGAUAAAAUUUUAACUUUCAAGAAAGAAUUAGGAUUAUAGAAAGCCCAUGUCCAUCACAGUGAGCUUGACAGCUUCCUUAUAGAAAUUAUUCUGAUGAGAUUGGUGGCAGUAUAUUAAUAAUGUGAUUUUUUUGCAUGUGUAAUAAACUGUGUUGAAAUUUGGAAGAUCUACGUAACUCAGUGAGUCAGUAUUUUCCAAAUGUUACAAAAGCAUGCGUGCGUAAAAGAACCACUGAAAGUGCAAAAUAGAUGAAUGGACUUCAUGUAAGCGCAUUUAAAAAGUUCAUUGAAAACGUUCCAGAUUCCACAUUAAAAUUAACUUAAAGAAAUUAGCCCUUAGUGAGUUUGGGUGUACUACCAAAGAAUGUGCGCACCUAUCUUUAAAAACUAUUAAAAUACUCCUCCCUCCUACAGAGGCUGAUUUUUCUUCAUAGGCUUCUACCAAAACAAGACAUUACAAGAGGCAAUGUAGGAGCAGAGUAGAUAGGAGAAUCCAGCUGUUUUUAUCAAGACAGACAUUAAGGAGAUUUGUAAAAUGUAAAUGACAUCACUCUCAUUAAAUAUUUUCUGUUUUGGAAAAUAGUUAUUUGUCGUAAUUUACAUUAAUAUGUAAUACAUUAUUAUUGUCACUCUUAAAUAUUUUUAAAAUUUCUCGGUGUUACUUUAUAAUAUGGUAAAUACUGAUAGCCCACCUUUUAUUUUUUUUAAGAAAAAUUCAGAAUCCUCAAUUUGUAAGGGGGUCAGUGGGUUUUGAGACCAAAAUGUUCAGAGAGCCACUGGCCUGGAUAAAACUUGAGAGAAUUCAGCAGUGGCUCCAAAGAAAAUGAGACGUUUUUCUUCUCUUUGCUGAAGGCCAGGUUCACAGUGCAAGUGACGAAGGGAAUUCGAAAAUUAAACUGAAGGAAAGAGGCUGAUAUUUAGGGAGGCUCCUCUGUGCCAUAGGACAUCUUCUCUCAUGCCCUCCUCAGAACUGUCCUGUGAGGUAACAGUGAUUCGGUCCCGUGUUGACAGAAGGAGGCUCAGAAGGGCUGGUUAGGGAACAGCUACUGUAAGUGGGGGGCGGAGCCACAGACCUGCCAGCACUUCCCAUCACACCAAUACAUCCGACAAUCACCGGAGAUGUUUAGGUCCAAAAUACCUUCAGCUAAAAUAUCAGCGCAACUGAGGUAAAACAUGGCUUUGAUGCAUCUGAAUUAUCCCAGUGACCGCCUUGGUGUGCCACCUCCCCGGGGUUGGCAAAGACAAUGGCAUCACAGAAUAGUCACCAGAUUUCCUGCAAAACGCUGUAAACCAGAUGGGCUUCUCUUGAAACUUCUUGGAGUCGUUCUUCUUCCCAAGGAAAAAGGUUGGGAGUAUGGUUUUUGUUGUUUUUGGGGAUUUUUUUUUUUUUUUUUUUUUUUUUUUUGCCUUCGGUUUUUGUUCUGGCAUUCUUUUGUGAGCCUGGAACUGAUUACUAAAUAGGGUCAAACAGCUUGAGUUGGGGCUUCCUGUGUGAAUGUGAACAGUGCUGAUUUCCAGCUUUUCGUUUGAUAUGUUAUCUGUGUUGGCCGCGGCCGCCGCUGAAGUUUCAGAUGGCUUCCUUCAAUUUCCUGUAUUGUGAGGACGGUGGAUGUGUGCACAUGUGCAUGCAGGGAGGUGGCGGGAGGGCGCUUCUGCGUGGAUUUCCUUGGAUUUUGUGAAAGGUUUUCAGUGAGUCGUUAAGAGGGCCACGCAUUUUAGUGGAAAGAGUACUGGGUCGCACAAACGCAGGUCUGGUGCCUGUCUGCCAUUCAUGAUCUGUGUGGUUUCCAGCAAGUUCUUUCUCAGGCCCAGUCCUGCUUCCUUACAAGGCUCCUUCCAGCCUUGAAAUUUUGUUAACUCUGAGCUCCACUCCAAGCCACACUGCCUGACUCUCCACACUUUGUUGGUAUGAAAGCAUUUGUUUUUCUUCUUUCUUAUAGACGUUCCACGUGUCGUCAUCUUUCAUUUCCCCGUCUUAUCCCUGCAUUAUAGCCUCUUAUAUUUAAGUUCUUCUAGAAAUGGCCCUCCAUCACCAGCUCGCAUUAUUCAGCUCCCAUGGUCUCUGAAAUACUAUGACAAUGGUUGGCCUUUUCUUAGAAGGUCCAGAAUGUGUUUGCUUCCUGUUUCUGUUACUGGGGAUGUCUAGAGCUUGGAGAUUGCAUUCUGUCAGGAUCUUCCCUCGGCCUGAAAUACAGGCCAGAGAUGCUGGGCUGGCAGCCGCUUCUCCAGCUCUGCUCUAUUUUUAUCAAAUCCAAUUAGAUUUAAGUAUGCGGGAUAAUGGCAAAUUUAAUUCAUCUGCUUUCAUGUCUGGGUAUGAACAUUUAAAAUGGAACCAGGACGUUAAACUCCUCUCUUCCACCAGCUUCCGCCUCCCGCGCACGCCAUGGCUUCCCCGGAGUGGGUAUAGCGCCAUCUAGUGGUGCGAUGGGCUAAGGCUUUGCUGCCCGGUUCCUGCAAUGCUUGAAGAAAACCUGUUGAGUGAAAGACACGCAAGCAGGGAUUGAAACAAAAUACUGGGAACGCUUGCAGCAGAUCACUUAGGACGCCGAAAGUUCAGAUUUGCUAUUCACCAUGCAAAUGUACAUUAAGUUACAAGAAUCCCUGGAACCGUGCAAAGCGGAGAUUUGUGGGUGUGUUCACUUCAGAUAGGAGUCCUGUUCGGUUUUUAACUUCUUAGUGAGGUUUUUGUGCUCUUCGUGUGGGAUCCAAAUACUGAGUGUUGGUAAUUUAUGCUCCUGUGAAAAACAUGGGCAAAUUGCUUCAUUUUUUCUCAGCCUCCGUUUCUCUUUUUGUCAUCCGUAAAAGAGAAUUUCUAAGAACCUUUACAAUCCUUUAAAAAAUGUCAACUAGCUACAAAUACUACGGUUCCGUGACUUACUCUAGUGACUGCACAUGCUUAAGAUCCAUGACUUUUUCCAUCUUCCAAGAGUGUGAUGUUAACAGGAAGUGUGGAAAUAAUACCAAUAGCUGGCAUUUAGUGAGUACUGCUACACCUCUGGCAUUGUUUUCAGCACUUUACACACAUUCACUUUUUUAUUUGAUCAUUCCAAAAUUCUGGCUGGCAAAAUUCUGCAAGAUAAAUAUGAUUCUGCUUGCUUUACAGAUAAGGCAUCUAAGGCUACCACACCCUGCUCUCCAUGUUCACAGACUAGUAAAGAAGAUGAAAGAGAAGUGAAAAAUAUGGUACUCUCAUUGUAAUUCCUCACACCAGUACUCGUGGCAUAGAGCACAGUGCAAUUUGCUGUGUUCCGACAAUCCCAAAUGUACUCAGGCCAUGUAAGAGGAGCUAUUUCUCUGUCUUUCACAUAUUCAUGAAGCUGCUGUCAUAAGACGAUUGUUAGAGAAGUAAUUAAGAUGUGUAUUCCAAGGAUUCAGGAGAAACUCACAUUUGUUAAGCUCUAAUAUGGUGCCCAGACCUCUUCCCUGUGGGGCAAGCAGUGAGGAGAGGUGGAGAAUCCGGUCCUCUAAGGAUGGCAGGUGGCAGAGGCCCAUCAGGACCGAUGCAGGGAGGCCACCGGGGCGGGGGCGGGGGCAGACAUGAUGCAAUAAUAGCAUUCUGUUGCUUUCAUUGAUGCACUUGAGUAUUCCCUUUGAAAGCUCAAGAGCCUUUCCCACCGUGUAUUGCGUAGGGUGCUAAUACACUUGAUGUGGAAAACAGAGCUUCCGGGUCAAAUACGACGGCAACCACUGGCCUAAAUAAAGUUAAAUGGGUUUUAGGCUCUCGAGGAGGACUUCUUGAAAUGUUUUUGUAUGUCCGUGUGUACUUUUUAUGUAAUUUAUACGUUAAAUGUAUUUUAAUAUGUACAAUCAAAUAACCUCCAAUGGCUAGGGAUUUAAGGCAGAUAAUAAUUCUUGUCUCUAUACCAGGAACCCUGUUGCCUAACUGCUGUUAAUUUCUGUGUGUGUAAAUUUCUGUGUGUGCUACGUGGUAGUAGCAUCAUUUUGCAACCCUGAGCUGCAGUCCCACAGAGCAACCGGAAGCCCAGCAGCUGCUGCCCCCUGGAGGUGGGGUUGCGCUGCCCACCUUGCAAGCUCCUCCCAGCAUCCUGCUCUUAGGUGUUUCCUUUCAAUGGUUUUGAUUAAUGAUCAACUCCACCCUGGUCUGCUGUCCUGAUGGACUUUCCUAUAUUAUAGAAAUAGUCAUGAAAUAUUAGGACAUAAAU